This 484-nucleotide ribosomal RNA is filed under the name uncultured bacterium. Its description in RNAcentral is "partial 16S ribosomal RNA". It matches the Rfam family "Bacterial small subunit ribosomal RNA", at positions 30 to 507 of the family's 1533-position model. The record is from RNAcentral.
AUUGAACGCUGGCGGCAGGCCUAACACAUGCAAGUCGAGCGGACGAAGGGAGCUUGCUCCUGGAUUCAGUGGCGGACGGGCGAGUAAUUCCCACGAAUCUGCCCUGCCUUUGGGGAUAACGUCCGGUAACGGGCGCUAAUCUCGCAUACGUCCUGAUGGUGAAAGGGGGGGUUCUUCGGACCUCGCGCUAUUUGCUGAGCCUAGGUCGGAUUAGCUAGUUGGUUGGGUAAAGGCCUACCAAGGCGACGAUCCGUAACUGGUCUGAGAGGAUGAUCAGUCACACUGGAACUGAGACACGGUCCAGACUCCUACGGGAGGCAGCAGUGGGGAAUAUUGGACAAUGGGCGAAAGCCUGAUGCAGCCAUGCCGCGUGUGUGAAGAAGGUCUUCGGAUUGUAAAGCACUUUAAGUUGGGAGGAAGGGCAGUAAGUUAAUACCUUGCUGUUUUGACGUUACCAACAGAAUAAGCACCGGCUAACUUCGUG